GAUCGGGAAGAUGGAGGCUCCUGAAGAGCUGUAGAAGCGCAUCCUAGGCAGAAGCCCAGCAGACAGCAAAGGGCCUGGUUUGUUCAAGGAACUGGAGGGCAAGAAAAUCAGGAGCCAAUUCAUGCAGGGCACAGUUAGCCAAGCCGGACUCACUCAGGAGGCCCUUCAUCUUCAUGUUCCCCACAUAGCAGAGGGGAGGGCAGAAGAUGAGAGGGAGGAGAGAGCAGAGCCAAGAGCCUCCUUUUCUCCCGCUGUGCCCCUCCUAUGUGUUGCUCUGGACACCAAGAACCACCCAAGGACAGUGGGACUCCUCGAAAAGAUAAUUGCUCAUGAGGGAUCCAAGAGCAAGGCUUGUUACAUCCUAUAACCUUCACACAAAAUAUUGACUGAGAAUCCUCCAUGUGCUAAGUACUGUUCAAAAACACUGGGAACCCAGCAGGGAUGAGCCACAAGUUUCCUUGUCUUUACAAAGCUUUCAUUCUGAGGGAGUGGAGAGAGACAAGCAAUAAACAACCAAUCAAAACAAA
Molecule: long non-coding RNA, 527 nt
Organism: Pan troglodytes (chimpanzee)
Lineage: Eukaryota; Metazoa; Chordata; Mammalia; Primates; Hominidae
Exons: 3
Source: RefSeq, a predicted model, not a curated record